This is a long non-coding RNA of Catharus ustulatus (Swainson's thrush), 979 nucleotides long. RefSeq lists it as uncharacterized. The transcript is spliced from 3 exons. The record is from RefSeq and is a predicted model, not a curated record. NCBI's taxonomy places the organism in Eukaryota, Metazoa, Chordata, Aves, Passeriformes, Turdidae.
GUGUGUGUGCAGUUCCAGCAGCUGUUGCAUGCGUGUGCUCAUGUCUCCGGUGGAGGCCCACCCCUUUCCGCCUGCACCGGAGCAGUGCAGGCGAGGAGAGCUCGGAGCUGGCUCCAUGGGAGAGGGUCCUUUGCCUGUCAGAGCCUUCCCAGCUGGGAGAAGCAGUGCCGCCGGCUCUGGCCCCAGAGCCCUAUCAGCCGAGCCUGUGGCGAAUUAAUCACUUGCGUUUUAAAUGCCAAUACAGCCCUUUCUGCCUUCUUCCCCCAGUGAUGCGGAUGCGGCGAAGGCAGCAAAUCCUCCGGCUGUGCGUGCCCUCCCCGGACUGCUGCUCCAUCCCCGCCCGCCGUGCCCGCGCGUGUGCCUGGCUGGGAGCGCUGCCUAGGUGCGGCCGGGAAUGAGACAGCUGCGGGGCAAGGACCGGAGCAGCUCCAAGGGCUGACACCAGCGGGGGAUACCCCCCCACACAAAAACAUCUGCAGGGCUGCAAGUUGCUUGAGGACCGAGGUCUUUUGUGCCUCCGCUUGGUCUGUGUCAUGCCCCGUAUGGAAGCUGGGAGCAGUCACCCCUCCAGAAGCAGAAGGCGAAGUCGUUCGCAAUGAAUCCAUGGCAGCUUCAAUCGAGCGGUGAGCUGGAGCACCUACUCACAGGCCACUCCUUCAUGUGACUGAACAGAGACCUCUCCCAGCACUCGCCAAGGAGAGCAGAGCCCUGGAUUUACCUCCCGCGCACCCGGCACCCCCAGCGCAGGCACUGUGAGAUUCCAGUGACAGAUGGAUCUCUCUUGUGCAUACUUGCUCUUUCCUUCUUUGUAUUUUUGUUUUCGACAUGUUUGAUCUGAAGCUCUGAAGCUUCUCAGAGGGAACCCAGGAAAGAAGGAAGAGAAGGAGUAGAAACCAAGGGAGCGUGAGCGACACAGGAGGCAGCUCUGCCUUGUUCCUCCAAACCACACUGUCGAGGGGCGGGGGAAGACUAGAGGGGG